RNAcentral lists this ribosomal RNA (500 nucleotides) under uncultured Pantoea sp. RNAcentral's name for it is "bacterial SSU rRNA". It matches the Rfam family "Bacterial small subunit ribosomal RNA", at positions 28 to 507 of the family's 1533-position model. Lineage: Bacteria; Pseudomonadati; Pseudomonadota; Gammaproteobacteria; Enterobacterales; Erwiniaceae. The record is from RNAcentral.
CGGUAGUCCUGGCUCAGAUGAACGCUGCGGCAGGCCUAACACAUGCAAGUCGGACGGUAGCACAGAGGAGCUUGCUCCUUGGGUGACGAGUGGCGGACGGUGAGUAUGUCUGGGAUCUGCCGAUAGGGGGGAUAACCACUGGAAACGGUGGCUAAUACCGCAUAACGUCGCAAGACCAAAGAGGGGGACCUUCGGGCCUCUCACUAUCGGAUGAACCCAGAUGGGAUUAGCUAGUAGGCGGGGUAAUGGCCCACCUAGGCGACGAUCCCUAGCUGGUCUGAGAGGAUGACCAGCCACACUGGAACUGAGACACGGUCCAGACUCCUACGGGAGGCAGCAGUGGGGAAUAUUGCACAAUGGGUGCAAGCCUGAUGCAGCCAUGCCGCGUGUAUGAAGAAGGCCUUCGGGUUGUAAAGUACUUUCAGCGGGGAGGAAGGCGAUGGGGUUAAUAACCCUGUCGAUUGACGUUACCCGCAGAAGAAGCACCGGCUAACUCCGUG